Long non-coding RNA from Centruroides sculpturatus (bark scorpion), 363 nucleotides. RefSeq lists it as uncharacterized. The record is from RefSeq and is a predicted model, not a curated record. Lineage: Eukaryota; Metazoa; Arthropoda; Arachnida; Scorpiones; Buthidae. The transcript has 3 exons.
ACUUUUCUGAAUUUCCACCCAGUUCGCUUCUAUUAGUACAACGUAUACAACCGGUGAUUAACAUUCUACUACGAUCGGAAGUAGAGUCAAUUCGAAUGCACGCCUGCAGGAUAAUUGUAUCUCUAUGGAACACCGAACCAUCCCUGACGUUGAACGAGUUAAUGAGAAACGGAGUGGAUACUUUUCUAGAAGAAAUGUUCGCUGUCGAUGGAGUUAUUAGUGUUUUGAUUAAUGUUUUUCUCAGGAAAACAUCCAGAUUAUCGUUUCCUCCGUGAUGAAAGAUCGUUGUUUGUCGAAUACGAUGCCUCAUUAAUUCUAGGGAAAAUACGUAGCUUCGUAGGUAAUUUUUUUUUUUUUUAAAAA